AUUACCCAUCGUGAUGUGGUUAUUGCAAUCAUAAGUGUUUGAUUGACAGGGCAGUAUUUUAUUGCCCUUUUUUAUUU
Regulatory RNA element from Buttiauxella agrestis ATCC 33320, 77 nucleotides. It matches the Rfam family "ABC transporter regulator". Rfam says of the family: DapZ sRNA, encoded in the 3'-UTR of the conserved dapB gene, as a translational repressor with a GcvB-like seed domain. This is the first example of a widely conserved bacterial gene whose 3'-UTR has dual function. Lineage: Bacteria; Pseudomonadati; Pseudomonadota; Gammaproteobacteria; Enterobacterales; Enterobacteriaceae. The record is from Rfam.